This 403-nucleotide ribosomal RNA is filed under the name uncultured Thecofilosea. RNAcentral describes it as "partial small subunit ribosomal RNA". It matches the Rfam family "Eukaryotic small subunit ribosomal RNA", at positions 30 to 432 of the family's 1831-position model. Lineage: Eukaryota; Cercozoa; Thecofilosea. The record is from RNAcentral.
GCUUGUCUCAAAGAUUAAGCCAUGCAUGUCUAAGUAUAAAUGUUAUACAGUGAAACUGCGAAUGGCUCAUUAAAACAGUUAUAGUUUAUUUGAUAAUCGAAUUUACAUGGAUAACCGUGGUAAUUCUAGAGCUAAUACAUGCGUAAAAUCCCGACUCUCGCGGGGAGGGAUGUAUUUAUUAGAUAAAAAACCAAUGCGGGGCAACCCGGUUUUGUGGUGAAUCAUAGUAACUUUUCGGAUCGCAUAGCUUCACGCUGGCGAUAGUUCAUUCAAAUUUCUGCCCUAUCAGCUUUCGACGGUAGUGUAGUGGACUACCGUGGCGUUAACGGGUGACGGAGAAUUAGGGUUCGAUUCCGGAGAGGGAGCCUGAGAAACGGCUACCACAUCCAAGGAAGGCAGCAGG